This 73-nucleotide transfer RNA is filed under the name Maritimibacter sp. RNAcentral describes it as "tRNA-Arg". It matches the Rfam family "tRNA". From Rfam's summary of the family: Transfer RNA (tRNA) molecules are approximately 80 nucleotides in length. The record is from RNAcentral. Lineage: Bacteria; Pseudomonadati; Pseudomonadota; Alphaproteobacteria; Rhodobacterales; Roseobacteraceae.
GGGCGCGUGGCCCAAUGGAUAAGGCGUCGGUCUUCGGAACCGAAGAUUGUAGGUUCGAGUCCUACCGUGCUCA